Molecule: ribosomal RNA, 368 nt
Filed under: uncultured eukaryote
Lineage: Eukaryota
Description: partial 18S ribosomal RNA
Rfam family: Eukaryotic small subunit ribosomal RNA
Source: RNAcentral
CAGUAGCGUAUAUUAAAGUUGUUGCAGUUAAAAUGCUCGUAGUUGAAGUUCGGAUGCAGCAGAGCUUGGAAACGCUGUUAUGGUGCUUCCGUUGCUUUUGCUUGUCAACAGUGCGUUGCAAGUACGUAUGUGCUUGUGCGUGCAUUUUACUUUGAGAAACAUAGGGUGUUCCACGCAUGUUACGGCAUGAAUAUUCCAGCAUGGGAUAAUCUGGUACGACUUCCAAUCUGCCAUUUUGGUUCGUAGGUUGGAAGUAAUGAUUAAUAGGGACUGUCGGGGGCAUUGGUAUUUGACUGUCAGAGGUGAAAUUCUUAGAUUCGUUGAGGACCAACCACUGCGAAAGCAUUUGUCAAGGAUGUCUCCAUUAA